This 426-nucleotide ribosomal RNA is filed under the name uncultured bacterium. Its description in RNAcentral is "bacterial SSU rRNA". It matches the Rfam family "Bacterial small subunit ribosomal RNA", at positions 917 to 1322 of the family's 1533-position model. The record is from RNAcentral.
GGGCUCACACAAGCGGUGGAGCAUGUGGCUUAAUUCGAGGCUACGCGAAGAACCUUAUCCUGGAAUUGACAUAUGUGAAAACGGUAGGAAGUAAUUGCCGGAAACGGCCAAUGAACGGUAUCCAGUCCGGAGCUUACCACAGGUGCUGCAUGGCUGUCGUCAGCUCGUGUCGUGAGAUGUCUGGUUAAGUCCGAUAACGAGCGCAACCCUUGUCUCUAGUUGCCAGCGGGUAAUGCCGGGAACUCUAGAGAGACUGCCGGUGUCAAACCGGAGGAAGGUGGGGAUGACGUCAAGUCCUCAUGGCCUUUAUGUCCAGGGCUGCACACGUGCUACAAUGGCGUAUACAGAGGGACGCAAAAUCGCAAGAUCAAGCAAAUCCCAAAAGUACGCCCCAGUUCAGAUUGCAGGCUGCAACUCGCCUGCAUG